GCACUCACUGGGGCUUGGUCCUCUCCUUGUGGUCCCGACCGGUUGUGAGCAAGAGAAGCAGGACUGGUUUGGGACUGUCCUGUUCGAGUGGAUGCACAUCACCCUGGUUCCCAGUAGGACA
Non-coding RNA from Ochotona curzoniae (black-lipped pika), 121 nucleotides. RefSeq annotates it as small Cajal body-specific RNA 23. The transcript has a single exon. The record is from RefSeq and is a predicted model, not a curated record. NCBI's taxonomy places the organism in Eukaryota, Metazoa, Chordata, Mammalia, Lagomorpha, Ochotonidae.